RNAcentral lists this long non-coding RNA (1700 nucleotides) under Helianthus annuus (common sunflower). RNAcentral describes it as "hypothetical non coding rna". The record is from RNAcentral. Lineage: Eukaryota; Viridiplantae; Streptophyta; Magnoliopsida; Asterales; Asteraceae.
AUGAUUGAAAUAGUUGACGAAAAUACGCGCGUUGACGCGUAUAGUAGAAAAAGCCUUGACACUCGCGUUUGAAGACGACGAGAGUCAAACGAAUUGUGGAUAUGAUGAUGGAACGGUCCGAAGUAUGACAAGAGGAGCAUACUCACCGAGGACUAAAUCGCGUAAUGACCGCGAACAAAGUUAAUGGCAAAGAACGCCCGUCGGGGAAAACAGUACCAGGUGCACAUUUUAAAUAAUAGCAUAAAUAGUAAUAUGCAACAAUAAGUAGGAACUUAAAAGUUGCAUAUGUAAAAAUUUAAAACUUGGAAAGACCUGAAUAGAAAACCUAUCCGGGAUAUUGUUUCCAAGAAAAAUAGAUAGAGGUAUUACUUACAUAGGGCGUGAUGUGAAAACUGUAGAAAGGUCAUGCGUGUCAUGUGUUAAACGCUUACUCUGGCCAAGUAAGUAGCGGCAUAUGUUACCAUGAACUUCUUAUGGCGGACACGUUUACAUCCGAUGUAGUAAGGGCAGGGUGAAUGGGACUAAUUAAAAAGUGCCCAAAUGAAUCAGAUAAACAAAAUAUUUGAUAAUAAUGUAAACGCACAACCAAGUGACGGGAGCGUAUUACAUUAGGAUAAUGAGCCCGAGUGAAGGGACAAACAAGCAUGUAAAAUGAUUUAGACAAGUAUUGGGAGGGAGUGUACUUACACUCGAACCCAGAAAACAUCAAGCUAUUGGGAGGGAGUGUACUUACACUCGAACCCAGAAAACAUCAAGCUAUUGGGAGGGAGUGUACUUACACUCGAACCCAGAAAACAUCAAGUUAUUGGGAGGGAGUGUACUUACACUCGAACCCAGAAAACAUCAAGAUAUUGGGAGGGAGUGUACUUACACUCGAACCCAGAAAACAUCAAGAUAUUGGGAGGGAGUGUACUUACACUCGAACCCAGAAAACAUCAAGCUAUUGGGAGGGAGUGUACUUACACUCGAACCCAGAAAACAUCAAGCUAUUGGGAGGGAGUGUACUUACACUCGAACCCAGAAAACAUCAAGCAUAUAAAACGAUUUAGACAAAUAUUGGGAGGGAGUGAUACUUACACUCGAACCCGAAGAAUAUAAACAUGUAAAAUGAUCAAGAUAUGCAUUAGGAGGUAGUGUACUUACACUCGAACCCGAAGAAUACAAAUAAGACUCUUAACAGGCCGAUUUUGUAAAACACCAAAUUUGAGAACGAAGUAGGAAUAUAAAAGUAAAACGAAGUCAUAAUACAUACCGUAAGGGUUGCAAUAAUAACGACUUCGGUAAAACACCCAGUUGGUGGGUAAGGAUUUAAACACAUGCGUAGACUGAGAAACAGGAACGCGAAAUAGAAAGUCAAAAGACUCGGAAUAUGAGUCAUGACUAAAAGAUGAUAAGAAUCUUCGCAAAUAUAAAUUUUGGUAAUUGCGUUCAACCAUUUCAAAGUUGGACGGGUCAAAUAAAGAACGAAGUCUGACAUUCAUAGGUGAUGAAAAUUCACCUAAAAUGAGUCAAACGAGUCAAUUAAGGAAAAAUGGAGGGGCCAAAAUGACCGACGGGUCAUGAACUAAAGCAAAGGGAUCAUAAGGGCCUCGUCUUAAAGAGACGAAAGCUUAAGAAAAUAGCCUACGAGGUUAGGUGAAAGAACCUACGGGUCAAUAGCGUAAGGUGAGGGAACUUGUUACGAUCCCUCGCGUAAAACG